GAUGAACGCUGGCGGCGUGCCUAAUACAUGCAAGUCGAGCGAACAGACGCGGAGCUUGCUCCGCUGACGUUAGCGGAGGACGGGUGAGUAACGCGUGGAUAACCUACCUAUAAGUCUGAGAUAACUUGGGAAAACGGGAGCAAAUACCGGAUAAUAUAUUGAACCGUGUGGGUCAAUAGUGAAAGACGGUGUUGCUGGCACUUAUAGAUGGAUCCGCGCCGGAUUAGCUGGUUGGUAAUGUAAAGGCUUACCAAGGCGACGAGGCGUAGGCGACGUGAAAGGGUGAUUGGCCACAUUGGAAGUGAGACACGGUCCAUACUCCUACGGGAGGGAGCAGUAGGGUAUGUUACGCAACGGUCGAAAGCCUGACGGAGCAACGCCGAGUGAGUUAUGAAGGUCUUCGGAUCGUAAAACUCGGUUAGUAGGGAAGAACAAAUGUGUAAGUAAAUAUGCACGUCUUGACGGUACCUAGUAAGAAAGCAACGGCUAACUACGUG
Molecule: ribosomal RNA, 497 nt
Filed under: uncultured bacterium
Lineage: Bacteria
Description: partial 16S ribosomal RNA
Rfam family: Bacterial small subunit ribosomal RNA
Source: RNAcentral